RNAcentral lists this microRNA (22 nucleotides) under Capitella teleta. RNAcentral describes it as "Cte-Mir-96-P2_3p* (star (passenger))". The record is from RNAcentral. Lineage: Eukaryota; Metazoa; Annelida; Polychaeta; Capitellidae.
AGUGAAUUACCAGUCUCAAAAA